UACGGGGGGGGCAAGCGUUGUUCGGAAUUACUGGGCGUAAAGGGCUCGUAGGUGGCCAACUAAGUCAGACGUGAAAUCCCUCAGCUUAACUGGGGAACUGCGUCUGAUACUGGAUGGCUUGAGUUUGGGAGAGGGAUGCGGAAUUCCAGGUGUAGCGGUGAAAUGCGUAGAUAUCUGGAGGAAUACCGGUGGCGAAGGCGGCAUCCUGGACCGGCAUUGACGCUGAUGAGCGAAAGCUAGGGGAGCAAACGGG
Molecule: ribosomal RNA, 253 nt
Filed under: uncultured bacterium
Lineage: Bacteria
Description: partial 16S ribosomal RNA
Rfam family: Bacterial small subunit ribosomal RNA
Source: RNAcentral